This is a small nuclear RNA of Rattus norvegicus (Norway rat), 105 nucleotides long. The record is from Ensembl. Lineage: Eukaryota; Metazoa; Chordata; Mammalia; Rodentia; Muridae.
GUGCUCUCUUUGGCUGCACAUGCACAAAAAUGAAAUGAUACAGAGAAGAUUAGCAUCGCCCUUGUCAAGGAUGGCACUCAAAUUCACAAAGUGUGAUUAUGAUAU